RNAcentral lists this ribosomal RNA (246 nucleotides) under uncultured bacterium. RNAcentral describes it as "partial 16S ribosomal RNA". It matches the Rfam family "Bacterial small subunit ribosomal RNA", at positions 523 to 769 of the family's 1533-position model. The record is from RNAcentral.
AUACGUAGGGGGCUAGCGUUAUCCGGAUUUACUGGGCGUAAAGGGUGCGUAGGUGGUUUCUUAAGUCAGGAGUGAAAGGCUACGGCUCAACCGUAGUAAGCUCUUGAAACUGGGAAACUUGAGUGCAGGAGAGGAAAGUGGAAUUCCUAGCGUAGCGGUGAAAUGCGUAGAUAUUAGGAGGAACACCAGUAGCGAAGGCGGCUUACCGGGGUACAACUGACGCUGAGGCACGAAAGUGUGGGUAUC